UUAGAUUAGAUUAGAUUAGGUUAGGUUUGGGUAGAGAAGGAUUAGGUUACGUUAGGUUUGGUUGAGUUAGAGGAGGAUUAAGUUAGAUUAUGUUAAGUUAGAUGAAUAUAAGGUUAGAUUAGGUUAGGUUAGUGGAGUUAGAUUAGAUUAGAUUAGGUUAGGUUAGGUUAGAGGAAUAUAAGGUUAGAUUAGGUUACAGCAAUAUUAGGUUAGGUUAGGUUAGAGGAAUAUAAGGUUAGAUUAGGUUAGGUUAUUGCAAAGUUAGGUUACAUUAGGUUAGAUUAUGUUAGAGCAAUAUUAGGUUAGCUUAGGUUAGAGGAAUAUAAGGUUAGAUUAGGUUAGGUUAUUGCAAGGUUAGGUUAUAUUAGGUUAGGUUAUUGCAAGGUUAGGUUAUAUUAGGUUAGG
Eriocheir sinensis (Chinese mitten crab) is the source of this 405-nucleotide long non-coding RNA. RefSeq lists it as uncharacterized. NCBI's taxonomy places the organism in Eukaryota, Metazoa, Arthropoda, Malacostraca, Decapoda, Varunidae. The record is from RefSeq and is a predicted model, not a curated record. The transcript has 3 exons.